AAGCAUGAGUUCAGCUCAUAUAUCUUUUUUUUUUUUUUUCAAUUUGCCCGUGCUCUUAUAUCUGUUUUUUUUUUCAAUUUGCCUGUGUUCUCAUGUUUUUGUGCAGCAAUGCGUCCUUAUUAUUUGUUUUUCAGAAAAAAACAAGUGUGAUUUUUUUUCAAAAUUUGACUUCAUCGCAUAGGGGAGCGCGCGCCAACGGCUCUGAAACCUUCCAGAACAUGGACGCCCUGCAAGUCCUCUCGCCCACCUGGAGAAGGCCUUCCCGUGGGUUGUUUGAUUUGCACCCGCCGCUCCUCAUCACUCAUACGCAUCUACCAGAGGUCAGUGCGUCCCACCAUACUCAGUGCCCCUGACGUCUAUCAAGCGGCCCACUCCGAAGGGAAUUGCAACAGCACUACCAGAGGUACUGGGUGAUUGUAGGAUUGCUCUUGAGGAGACCGUCUUGCUGUCAAAAGGAAUCGAUCAUCCAUUGUGAGUUUGUCAUUUUCUUCAAGUUUGAAAUUU
Cryptomeria japonica (Japanese cedar) is the source of this 504-nucleotide long non-coding RNA. RefSeq lists it as uncharacterized. The record is from RefSeq and is a predicted model, not a curated record. The transcript is spliced from 3 exons. NCBI's taxonomy places the organism in Eukaryota, Viridiplantae, Streptophyta, Pinopsida, Cupressales, Cupressaceae.